Non-coding RNA from Bos taurus (domestic cattle), 73 nucleotides. The record is from Rfam. Lineage: Eukaryota; Metazoa; Chordata; Mammalia; Artiodactyla; Bovidae.
UCCCUUGUGGUCCAGUGGUUAGGACUCUGAGCUUCUACUACAGGGGCCACGGGUUUGAUCCCUGAUCAGGGAA